ACGGUAACAGGCCUUCGGGUGCUGACGAGUGGCGAACGGGUGAGUAAUGCAUCGGAACGUGCCCAGUAGUGGGGGAUAGCCCGGCGAAAGCCGGAUUAAUACCGCAUACGACCUACGGGUGAAAGGGGGGGAUCGCAAGACCUCUCGCUAUUGGAGCGGCCGAUGUCAGAUUAGGUAGUUGGUGGGGUAAAGGCCUACCAAGCCUGCGAUCUGUAGCUGGUCUGAGAGGACGACCAGCCACACUGGGACUGAGACACGGCCCAGACUCCUACGGGAGGCAGCAGUGGGGAAUUUUGGACAAUGGGCGCAAGCCUGAUCCAGCCAUGCCGCGUGCGGGAAGAAGGCCUUCGGGUUGUAAACCGCUUUUGUCAGGGAAGAAAUCUUCUGGGCUAAUACCUCGGGAGGAUGACGGUACCUGAAGAAUAAGCACCGGCUAACUACGUGCCAGCAGCCGCGGUAAUACGUAGGGUGCAAGCGUUAAUCGGAAUUACUGGGCGUAAAGCGUGCGCAGGCGGUUGUGCAAGACAGGUGUGAAAUCCCCGGGCUUAACCUGGGAACUGCACUUGUGACUGCACAGCUGGAGUGCGGCAGAGGGGGAUGGAAUUCCGCGUGUAGCAGUGAAAUGCGUAGAUAUGCGGAGGAACACCG
Molecule: ribosomal RNA, 648 nt
Filed under: Rubrivivax benzoatilyticus
Lineage: Bacteria; Pseudomonadati; Pseudomonadota; Betaproteobacteria; Burkholderiales; Sphaerotilaceae
Description: bacterial SSU rRNA
Rfam family: Bacterial small subunit ribosomal RNA
Source: RNAcentral